GGCUAGAAAGCAAAAGUGGUUAUGCAAAAGAUUGCAAAUCUUUUUUAAUUGGUUCGAGCCCAAUUCUAGCUU
Molecule: transfer RNA, 72 nt
Filed under: Vertebrata lanosa
Lineage: Eukaryota; Rhodophyta; Florideophyceae; Ceramiales; Rhodomelaceae
Description: tRNA-Cys
Rfam family: tRNA
About the family: Transfer RNA (tRNA) molecules are approximately 80 nucleotides in length. Their secondary structure includes four short double-helical elements and three loops (D, anti-codon, and T loops). Further hydrogen bonds mediate the characteristic L-shaped molecular structure. tRNAs have two regions of fundamental functional importance: the anti-codon, which is responsible for specific mRNA codon recognition, and the 3' end, to which the tRNAs corresponding amino acid is attached (by aminoacyl-tRNA synthetases). tRNAs cope with the degeneracy of the genetic code in two manners: having more than one tRNA (with a specific anti-codon) for a particular amino acid; and 'wobble' base-pairing, i.e. permitting non-standard base-pairing at the 3rd anti-codon position.
Source: RNAcentral